AAACAUGUAAGAAUUCACACAGGAGAGA
This 28-nucleotide non-coding RNA is filed under the name Cricetulus griseus (Chinese hamster). The record is from RNAcentral. Lineage: Eukaryota; Metazoa; Chordata; Mammalia; Rodentia; Cricetidae.